This 73-nucleotide transfer RNA is filed under the name Cricetulus griseus (Chinese hamster). It matches the Rfam family "tRNA". From Rfam's summary of the family: Transfer RNA (tRNA) molecules are approximately 80 nucleotides in length. The record is from Rfam by way of RNAcentral. Lineage: Eukaryota; Metazoa; Chordata; Mammalia; Rodentia; Cricetidae.
GGAGGCAUGGCUCAACAGAUAAGAGCACUGGCUGCUCUUCCAGAGGACCUAGGUUCAAUUCCAAGUGCCCACA